This 253-nucleotide ribosomal RNA is filed under the name uncultured bacterium. RNAcentral's name for it is "partial 16S ribosomal RNA". It matches the Rfam family "Bacterial small subunit ribosomal RNA", at positions 524 to 776 of the family's 1533-position model. The record is from RNAcentral.
UACGUAGGGGGCAAGCGUUGUCCGGAAUCAUUGGGCGUAAAGAGCGUGUAGGCGGCCAGAUAAGUCUGCUGUGAAAGUCCAGGGCUCAACCCUGGGAUGCCGGUGGAUACUGUCGAGCUCGAGUCCGGAAGAGGCGAGUGGAAUUCCUGGUGUAGCGGUGAAAUGCGCAGAUAUCAGGAGGAACACCAAUGGCGAAGGCAGCUCGCUGGGACGUGACUGACGCUGAGACGCGAAAGCGUGGGGAGCAAACAGG